AGGGGUUUAGGUUUAAUAAGACUGAGGGCCUUCAAAGCCCUAGGUGGGGGGACGCCAGGCCCUCAGCCUCUG
RNAcentral lists this transfer RNA (72 nucleotides) under Tetrabrachium ocellatum (four-armed frogfish). RNAcentral describes it as "tRNA-Trp". Lineage: Eukaryota; Metazoa; Chordata; Actinopteri; Lophiiformes; Tetrabrachiidae. The record is from RNAcentral.